UAUCAGGUAGUAGUGGGUGUAGCGUACCUACUAGCCUACGACGGGUACGGGUUGUGAGAGCAAGAGCCCGGAGAUGGAUUCUGAGACACGAAUCCAGGCCCUACGGGGUGCAGCAGGCGCGAAAACUUUACAAUGCUGGAAACAGCGAUAAGGGAACCUCGAGUGCCAGGUUACAAAUCUGGCUGUCGUGAUGCCUAAAAAGCAUUGCAUAGCAAGGGCCGGGCAAGACCGGUGCCAGCCGCCGCGGUAACACCGGCGGCUCGAGUGGUAACCGUUAUUAUUGGGUCUAAAGGGUCUGUAGCCGGCCGGAUAAGUCUCUUGGGAAAUCUGGCAGCUUAACUGUCAGGCUUUCAGGAGAUACUGUCUGGCUCGAGGCCGGGAGAGGUGAGAGGUACUUCAGGGGUAGGGGUGAAAUCUUGUAAUCCUUGAAGGACCACCAGUGGCGAAGGCGUCUCACCAGAACGGACCUGACGGCAAGGGACGAAAGCUAGGGGCACGAACCGGAUUAGAUACCCGGGUAGUCCUAGCCGUAAACGAUACUCGCUAGGUGUCGGCCACGGUGCGACCGUGGUCGGUGCCGUAGGGAAGCCGUGAAGCGAGCCACCUGGGAAGUACGGCCGCAAGGCUGAAACUUAAAGGAAUUGGCGGGGGAGCAC
This 656-nucleotide ribosomal RNA is filed under the name uncultured Methanosaeta sp. RNAcentral's name for it is "bacterial SSU rRNA". It matches the Rfam family "Archaeal small subunit ribosomal RNA", at positions 223 to 879 of the family's 1478-position model. The record is from RNAcentral. Lineage: Archaea; Methanobacteriati; Methanobacteriota; Methanomicrobia; Methanotrichales; Methanotrichaceae.